UGAUACCGGGGUCAAAAGGUUGGAAAUCCGAUGCAAGCUUACUUGCAAGAGGAUUUUUGACCUUGGAACCCGCCAAAAACAUGAAUAAGCAACCAUUUUUCGUAGAAAAAUGAGCGGAUUAUGAAUGUUUCCUAGGAUUGCGGGAGCACGUAGUGCGAAACAAUCCGGUAUCA
Molecule: small RNA, 173 nt
Organism: Lachnoclostridium sp. An14
Lineage: Bacteria; Bacillati; Bacillota; Clostridia; Lachnospirales; Lachnospiraceae
Rfam family: Clostridiales-1 RNA
Source: Rfam